GAGAGAGAGAGAGAGAUUAGGCAAAACUGUACAUGAACUUUAAUCUACAUGACUUAUGUGCAACAUGUUUCAACUUGGUUAAGCACCACUUCACUCUUUGUGAUAGGAAUACUUUGUACAGAGACAAAUAGUUUAGUUAUUUACUGUCAAACAACAUUAAGUUUUUUCAAUGGAAGAAGCAGUUAAAUCACAUGUUCUACUAAAUAUGCUCCUACAGGAAAAAUAAGAAUAAUUAUACAAAAUUACUUUUAUGAACUAUCUUGGAAAUAUCUUCCUUCAUACAACAUGACCUUUGUAAAUUUGUCCAUCACCAGGAUUGUAGUGCUUUAUGCCAAAGUUGCUGGAUUAGUAGUGUUUAAGUAAAAUAACUAUAAUACUGUACUCAUCUGGCAGCAGGCCCAGACCAUAUUCUAAGCUGCAGGUCUAGAAGGUAAACUGAGCUCCAAUAUAAUGUGAGCAAGUGUGACAAAGCGUUAGUCAUCCAUCAUAAGGUGGGAAAAAUCAAUAGGUCACGAUUGUUGGCCAAAUUAAACUCGGGCAUUGAAGGGAACAAAGUCAAGGCCAAAUUGCUUUUGUAUCACACAAAAUAUAGAUUUAAAUUUUGAAAUUGAGUGAAAAUUUUGUAUUUACUUGUGUAGUUUAAUGAUGAAUGAGGUAAAGCAUUUUUUUAUUAACAAAAAUUGUUACUACUGAAAACGGUUAACUUUCAAUAUACAUUACAGAAAGUCAUGUAGUUUAUUAUUUUUAUUUGUUUCAAACAUUUUUACAAAUUUUUGUUGUAUUGGAACAUACAAUUAUAGUGUUUUUCUUAAUAGUUUAUUUUACUGUUUUUUUUUCUUUCUAAUAAUUUGAUAUUUUUUAAUUAUUUGUGUCAAAAGACAUACCUAAAAUUUUCUGGUAACAUAAAUUUUUUAACACUUAAAAACAUUUUUGCUUAAAACAUGGAGUAUUUGUUAAAUUAUAUGAGUGAAUAUAAACUGCUUUCAGUGCUAAUACUAACAUUAUUUUGAAAACACAGGUUUCAGUUGCAUUUGUCAAUACAAAAUAGCCAUAGAUUUAUUGAUUAAGAUUUCAUAUUAACUUAUAGAUUUACCUGUUGCUAUAGUUACCAUAGUUGUUCUAAAUUAUUUUGUUGUUUUUAGAGUUUUUUUUUACAUUUUCAGAAUUGUAUUGUAUGCUGGCAAUUUCCUAAGUUAUCAAUAUAAUUUAAUAUAGCAAAUUUGAUUUUGUCUAUUGCUUGAAUGUAAAGUUUAAAUACAGUGAAAUUCUUAUUUAUUCAUAUAUAAAACAUUAUAUAAAGGUCAUUCUUAUUUACAUUG
Long non-coding RNA from Homalodisca vitripennis (glassy-winged sharpshooter), 1319 nucleotides. RefSeq lists it as uncharacterized. The record is from RefSeq and is a predicted model, not a curated record. The transcript has 2 exons. Lineage: Eukaryota; Metazoa; Arthropoda; Insecta; Hemiptera; Cicadellidae.